AAGAUGAGUCGUACCUCAUCUCGCUUUCGUCUUAUCUCUGAUUUUGUGUUCGUUUAUGUUUUGUGUGAUGUUUGUGUCAUCAAACAGCCCUCUGAUUUGAAUUAUUAUUCAUUUUAUUUCAUUCAGUAACAAUACAUAUCAUUGAAAUGAUACUAAAUAAACAUAAAACGGUUAAUAAAAAGGAGCAGAUAAAAGAAAACUUAGAUCAUCUGCCCUCUUUUGCUAUAUCAACUAAAUUAAAUGAAAAUAUCUCAAACGGAUCAAGAAUUCUAUCCAAUCAAAUCCCAAUAUUGAUCUAACAUGGUUUCUGCCACUGAGGCUCAAACGUCAAACAGGUUUUUACCCUCAAUGUUGCUUCUAUGGCUGAAGACAAUAAAUCAUUUUUAAUCAUUUAAAACAUAAUUCAUUCUCUUUUUUGCAUUGGUUACUUGUACCCUCUUGUCUGUGAUUGGCUGUUUGGUGGCACAUAACUCAGAGUUUUGAACAAAAUCAAAGAUAGGAUGAAAGCGAGAUGAAGCACAACGCAUCUAAAAACAUUUGUGUUGGAAAUGCAAAAAACGCUUUGGAAAGUAAAUAAUUCAUAUUUUCAUUUUCAGUUUUUCUCUUAAAAAAUUUGAUCUCCAAUCUAUAAAUUUUGCUCGCAAUACAGGUUCACAAAAAUCCCUCCAUACGUUGCUCCCAACUCUGGUCUGGAGUUGUCAGAGUUUUGUGACGAACCGGAAGGGUAAAAAUAAUCUGUGAAUACGUGAAACUGUAAAUGAAGAAACGCUAAUACGCGGGGAACACUGUACUGUGGUGUAGAAAUCUUGUUGUUUUACCCUGAAAAGUGAUGCUAACUUCCUCACUAACCUUGAUGGGAUUCUGUUGUUUUUACCGUCUUGUGGAUCUGUUUCAUUGUGGGAAAUGUGAUUGUAAGACUGGCUUUAACUUGAGGAAUGAAAACUGAAAAAAAGAAAACAAAUAUUUUUAAAUCUUCAAAAAGAAAAAUAAGAAAAAGGGAUCCUAAACGAAUUCUGUUUGAUAAACGUUUCAACAUAAAUAUCUGUCAUUCUUCCAGAUCGCUGCAGUUUAAACACUGAAACAGGAGAACUGACGAUCAAUGAUGUGAGACUGGAGCACAGCGGUGUGUACACCCCAGAGAUUAACAACAGAAUACUAACUGAUAUCAGACUACAGGUUCUCUCUCCAGUCCCCAAACCCAGCAUUAUUUCUAACUGUAACUCUGAGCAAACCCGGUGUAUCCUCACCUGUGUGUUUGACAGAACAGAUGAUCUGGGAGAUGUUCAGGUUUUCUGGAUUCUUGAUGACAGCAGUGUAAAAGAAGGCAGGAAGCUCUCCAUCACAAAGGAGACGACGGAGAGGACGUUUAUCUGCAGACUGAACAAUCCUGUCAGCUCUGAGAGCAGCACCGAGCUGAUAAACCCUCUUUUGCCUAAUAAACCACUUAUCGUUUCAUUGGCUGUUCUGAUCCCGUGUAUUUUAAUUUUCCUUGGGGUCCUGGUGUAUCUCUACAUAA
Molecule: long non-coding RNA, 1516 nt
Organism: Oryzias melastigma (Indian medaka)
Lineage: Eukaryota; Metazoa; Chordata; Actinopteri; Beloniformes; Adrianichthyidae
Exons: 4
Source: RefSeq, a predicted model, not a curated record